This is a long non-coding RNA of Apis laboriosa (Himalayan honeybee), 1203 nucleotides long. RefSeq lists it as uncharacterized. The record is from RefSeq and is a predicted model, not a curated record. The transcript is spliced from 2 exons. NCBI's taxonomy places the organism in Eukaryota, Metazoa, Arthropoda, Insecta, Hymenoptera, Apidae.
AGUGGAACGAAUGAUUUUUUAUUCAUUCUUCUUCAAAAUAUUUUGGAAUAAUGUUAUAUCUAUAUGUACCAUAAUAUUGCUUCCUUUUUCAAAAUUUGUUUUCUUAGGUAAAUAAUUCAAUUCUACUUAAUUAUUUUAUUUGAAUGUGAUAUUUAAUUGUCGAAGAUUGUAUGUGUAUAUAUAUAUAUAUAUUUUUUAGUUUAGAAGAAGGAAGCAGUAAAAAUUAUCUAUUUCUUAAGAAUUGGUUGGUGAUAAAAAUAUUGCUUACGGCUAUUAUAUUUUUGAUCGAGUUACUAAAAAUAGGGAGAGAACAGGAGGGAUCCUUGAAACACGCAAUUAGGCUAUAAAUGUCCGAUCUACGUAACAACCAAGGCAUUUCGUUGUAAACAGUUUAAAGUAUCUUUGAAAAGAUAGGAAAUGGCUAAUAUAUUAGAUCCUUUGAUCCGAAGAAUUCAAGGUUUUAGCGAAUCUAGCAAUCGUCGAAAUCUCAUCCGAUGAUGCAAUACGAUGCAAAAUUAAGUGGGAAGCAGAAGUUGGAACGCUUCAAGAGUCUACGAAGAAAUCGUUCGAGCAAUGGUAAACUAUUGAACUACGACACGAGGAAAGAAACGAGGAGAAUCUUUGGAGGGGAAGUGAUCGCUGGUGAAAAGGUGAAACGUCGAGCAGUGAUCGAUUUCGGGGACAGUGAGACGCGAGAAAGUUCAGUGACCAUAAGGAAUAUUAGUGCCAAUCCUGACGAGAAACGAAAGUGUCGUAGACGGUUCUCUGGCUAUCGAAUUGCUCGUGUACGAAAAUAGUCGUAAAUAUCGGCCCUAAAUGACGAUCGUGCCACGCAAGAGUGACAUCUUCGAAACGAAUUCACAAAGCGUCCCCGUCGAAUAUCUCAUCGACGUUCAUCCGGAUCUUCUUAUGGAUCGUUCUCUACCUCGAUUAUUCAAAUAUCGUGGAUUCGACGAAAAAUACAAGAGAAAGAAAGGAAAUGUAGAAGAAUCAGGAAUCGUGCACUCGUCCAUACAGUCAAGAACAACGUAGAGACAAGUGCACGCUCCUUGGUUCCUUGAUUGAAAACGAUCACGAUGGACGGUCGCUGAGAACGAAGAUCCUUCUGUACCCUACGUGGGUCAGCCCGUUUCAGAGGCUGUCCGUCUUUCUGAAAUACCUUCCGAGCGUCGGCCUGUUGGGUAUUUUCGUCGGCCGAUUACG